This 6012-nucleotide long non-coding RNA is filed under the name Coffea arabica (coffee). RNAcentral's name for it is "long non-coding RNA (CARA_LNC000654)". The record is from RNAcentral. Lineage: Eukaryota; Viridiplantae; Streptophyta; Magnoliopsida; Gentianales; Rubiaceae.
UGGGAAAGCUCUUACUGGCUGGAGAGUUCAUCAACAAGCAUUUGGGCCGCCAAUCUGGGUCGAAAACUGCAAUUGCUUUCAGCCGGAAAACGGCAGAUGCUUCAAAGAUAUAAGGAACAUCACAUUAACAUAAUAUUAUACUCUAUAAACGAUAAAGCAAGGGGGAAAUUUUGUUUUCUCCUCUUGCAUUCUGAUGUGUCUAGUAAGACUACCAUGUUUUAUACGAAAAGAAACUCAAAAUGAAGAGCCAUUCAUUGUCUUCAGAAUCAUUGUAUUGAGAUCAGUUAUAUGCAUAUACAAAAAGUAUUAGUACAAGGAUAGAAGAAAAAAGGACAUUGUCCUCAGAAUCAUUGUAUUGAGAUCAAUUGUAAGAAGUAUAGUACAAGAAUAGAAGAGAAAAGAACAGCUGCAUAAUGAUAUAGCCAUGCCACUAUGUUAUGCUCCUCGGUGGUGUAUUUGGUUUUUCUUUCUUUUUUCUGCUUCUUUCGCAAUCUGUUUCUGGUAAUGCAGGUGGUAACAUUUCUCUGCUCUGACUUGCAUCAAACAAGCUGGGAAUUGGGUUCCAAUUGCAUGGUUUCACGUUCAGUUAAUUUAAGUUCUUGUUGCUGACUUUGUAGUAUUUUUGCCAAUUGAUGGAAUAUUAUUAAUGGUCCCCAAACUUGUACAAAUUGAUUUUCAACUAUAUAAUUUUGUCUUCAAAUGGGUCCUUGCCCAACACUGGUAACGGGUAAUUUUCACCUUGGUCCGCCAUGAAGUUUCAUUUAAUCUCAAUUUCCUUUAGGUUUGUAUAUUAGCCACUAGAGUAUUUCUGGCUGUGCUAAUGCCCAAUUUAUUGUGUAAAAAAUAUUGAAAAAUUUCUUGCCACGACUUGUGCCCACACAAAUUGCUUUUAGCAACAUGGUUGUGCGUGUAUGAAUUUUUUUUUUUUUUUUGUCAACACAAGAGUGUCCGGAUCUAUUCUUACGGGACCCAACUAAUUCCCUACGGCCCGAGAGAGGAGGCCCCACUCCACACCGGUUGUGCGCGUAUGAAAGAUCUUCACUAAUGAGCAACCUGGGCGUUUUCUUGCAAAAGUAUUGAUUUCUAUAAUCAUAAACAAGAGCCUCAAUUCUACAUGCAUAAAGCUCAUAUAUGAAGAAUAGAUAGGAAUAAACAUCUUCUUGGCAUGCAAAUAAAAGAAUCAUAAGUUAAAGAAUUUUUUUUUUGGAACCAAAGGUAAAGUUGAGGUACAUGUCAUCAAUUACAAAUUUGUACACCAAAGAAUUUUCAACCUUCAAGUUUAUUAUCAUUACACUUGCCUUUUUAUUAAGAUAUAAACAUAAUUAAAUCAAGAUCGACUAUAAUCCAAUGAUGAAAUGGCCAAAGCUAUUCUGAUGCAUAGAAGAGGGUCAUUUUUUUGCAAGUGUAGAGCAACAGCCCUUUAGAAAUUGAGUAAAUCUUAUAUACUCUGACAGUGUAUAUACUAUCACCGUUCGAUUCAUGAUAUAUUCAAAUUCAAAUCUUGUAUAGUUGUCAUUCAUCCAACGCUGAUAGUGUAUACACUGUCAGUGUAGGAAAGAUUAAUCCUUAGAAAUUAUACAAAACUGGGAGGAAAAUCACUAAGAAGCUGUCUUGCACUUUAGCAUUAUGUAUGGCAUCUUGUUAAUUUGAAUAUUUAUGGACUCUGCUGUUCAAGCUUGCUGGCGCUGAUGGCUAAUGGUUUCUGCAAAUACUUGCUAUAAAAUGACUAUUUGCAAUUGAAGACAUCUAAGUGUAAAGGAAAACAUUGGUGCUCACAAAUUGAUAAUAGCAGAAAAGCAAGCAAUUGACACAAAAUAAUGAGAACCAGAAAAGGCAGGAGAAAAUUUGAUAAACUAAAUAUGGAAUACCGUAAAGGACUACUUAUUUGAAUUACUGCUUCCGUGUCAUCAAGCAUGAAGACAGCAUUUCUUGCCCCAAAACAAUAUCAAGACCUUUGUGGUGUCUCUGUGUGCAAUCUCUUUGUGCAAUCACUCUGGAGUUGGAAUAGACAUCUCCAGGGUCAAGCAAUUUUGCCAUUUGCAAUGCAUAUGCAUGUUCACCCAUCAUGUAUAUGUACAUCUCAACCAAAAACAGCUUAUUAUCUCAAGUUUGACACAAACAUUUCAUCAAAUGCUUGAUAACCUCAACAGGUGAUCCAACAGAAACAAAUGGACAUUUUAUCCUCCAAAGAUCCGAAUAGAAUUGGAUAAGACAAUGGCCAUAGAAAACCGGUAGCAUACACAAGAAACAUUCAGAAAAUCAAAGAUACUAACCUGUAUUAAUAAAUCCCAAUCUUUCAAUCAAAAGAGGAUGCUGAUAUAACCCCUAGUAUCUUAGGAUACUAGUGUAUGUCAAAAUUCCAGUUCAUUCCAGUUGGAAACUCAGAGAUGGUGUGCAUGACAUCGAAGACAUUUCAAUUAUAUAGUAUGUAUUGCGGAUGUCUUAACCAACACAGAGACACACCUAGAGGGAGACAUGGAGCAUACUUUGUGAGAUAAGGUAGUAAGGAGGCAGAUGGUUGAGAAGUAGAAACAUUUUCUGUUCCAUUUAUAUCAUGAAGUUGGGUGACCAUAAGAUACUAGUUUUCAUUGAACCUGUUUUCACAGGAGGAUGUCCUAUUCAAGGUUGGUCUAAGAUUGAGGAUAGCUCUUGAUAUGAGAAGUGUGGAUUUCAGGGACACAUGUUGAAUUGAUGGAAGGCGAACCCUGAGAGUGAGUAUAAACGUCAUCAAUAUUAAAGGUUAAUAGCAGCUGGCCAUAAUUUGAUUGAUCUAAGGUCGUUAGAUGAGAACCAUUUGAUCCACACAUGGAUGUGACAUUGGGGCAGGAUAAAUGCUUAGAAACAGGCAUAACUCCACUACUAUAAUUUUCAUGAUCCUUCCUAAUCAUGUUACUAUUUGGAUUUGUCAUAGAGUGGAGGUUGAGACCAAUUAGAUGAGUGUUAUUUCCUGAGGUCUGAAUAUCUGCAUAUGCACUGUCAGAAUGCAUAUGCAUUGCAUUAGCAGGAUGAGCCUGAGAAAACAGCAGGUUUCUUGAUAACUCUUCACAUUGUUCUAUUAUGUGAGAGCUGUUUGGGUUCCUUUUGAAUGAAGUCUCAGCAUUGUAACAUUCAUCAAACCAUUUAUCUACUAAACUAAACCUUUAACUUGGAUUCCUUUUUCUUUUCAUCUUAAUGACAGUAGCAGUAAGGAAAUAUGACUAAUUGCAGCUAAUGAAGAGUGUAAAACUAAGUUAUAUAUAUGAAGUCCAAACUGCUAGAUACAACCAGUUGAACAAGAGAUACAAAUGUGAGACUAAUUGUAUGAAUUUGUCGUAUUCGACGAAUGACAAAUCAGAGUGAUUAAAUAAUAAAAGGCAGAAUGUGAAGAAGAAAAGUGAUAUAAAGCAUACAUUCAGCAGAAUUUAACGGUUAAAUAGCAGAACAUAGAACCUGUGAACUCACAACCUAUGAACUUAAUACUCAUACGGGAACUCAUGGUUGCAGAACUUAGAACCCCAGUUACAGCAAACAGAAAAUUAUCCAAUCUAGAACCCAGCAGACUUUCGUGGUUAAAUACCAGAACGUAGAACCUGUGAACUGACAACCUACGAACUUAAUACUCAUAAGGGAACUCAUGGCUACAGAACUUAGAACCCCAGUUACAGAACUCCAAUUACAGCGAAGACAAAAUUAUCCAAUCUGUUGAAUACUUGUAGGGCAAACAAUUAGCCAAAGAGAAACAGUAAUUACCUUUAGCAGGAAAGCUUGCAAAUGUAAAAGUAGAAGGACCAUGAAGCUGAGCAGUAUUGCUUCCUAAUGUAUAAGGACACAAACUUUGUGAGUUGUAACUCUUGAUCAUUUGCCAACUGGCCAACAAACUGAUAAAUAGAAGUAACUGAACAAGAUACACAAAGUCACAAACUAAUUGUUUGAAUUUAUCAUAUUCAACUAAUGAGACUGAUUAAAUACUAAAACAAAAUGCAAGGAAAAAAAACAUUUAAGUGAAACCAAACGAAGUUACAACUAAAAAACUAUCACUAACUUAUGAAACACAAUAAAAGUUUUGGAGAAAAAUUGCAGCACACAUUGAAAGACUGAAGAGAGUGACCUGAAAUUGAAACAACUGUUGAAUAGAAAUCUGUGAACGCUGAAUAAGAAGUUCUUAUGCAUCAAUUCUUUCACAGUGCAAUUAAAUCCCUGUAGAAAUUUGGCAACCAAAAUAAAAAGUAUACAGAGUAUCCAAUCUCUUUAAUACUCGUAGAGAAAAAAAGGGUUAAAAACAAAAAAGUCUCCUAUGGUAUACCUAAUACACAGAAAAUUCCCCCAUGAUUUCAAAACAUACAAAAUGACACCUCAUGUUUCAAACUAAAUUAUAAACUAACAGAAUUCGUUAAAUUUAACGAAAAUGACGGUCUCGGCCUUUAAACUUACUGGAUUCCGUUAAGUUUACCGGAUUCUGUUAAGUUUAACAUUAAGUUUACCGAAUUCCGUUAAAUUUAAUGAAUUUUGUUAGUUUACAAUUUAGUUUAAAACAUGACGUGUUGUUUUGUAUGUUUUAAAAUCACGGGGGAUUUUUUUGUGCAUUAGGUAUACCACAAGGUACUUUUUUAUUUUUAACCUAGAAAAAAAUUAAACACAAAAAAUGAGUAGUUACCUUUAGUAGGAAUGGUUGCAGAGGAAAAGAAGGAAGAAGCGUGGAGUUUUUUGUGAGCAGUAUUUGUGUUCCUAAUGUAUAAACAUACAAAUUUUAUGAGUUGUUAAAGAUUUUUCUUUCAUUCUUGAUAAUUUGCCAACUGGCCAACAAAAAGGAAAAUAAAAGGACAAACCUAUAUCCCUAACAAUGCUAUAAGCCAUCAUGAACACAAUAGAUAAUGACACAAAGUUGAUGAAUUGUUAGAGAUUUUUCUUUCAAUCUUGAUAAUUUCUCAACUGGGGAACAAAAAGGAAGACAAAAGGACAAACUUAUAUCCAUAGUAAUGAAUAGAAAUCAUACUUCAUACUUAACUCUUUUUGGAACAAUCCCACGGUUGAGAUACGGAUAAGCAGCCAUAAUUUAGGGAAAAAUCGUCAAAUUAUUGACCAAGUGGUGGAGGAGUUCAAUUGGUAUUUUUGUUCCUCUAAACUAAAAGGAAAAGAAAGCCAUCAUUUAGGGGAAAAAAUCAUCAAGUUGUUGACCAACUGUUGGAGGAGUUGAAGCCGUAUUUUUCUUCAUUCGAACCAGAAAGAAAACUAAGGAGAAAGAAAGGAAUCGAAAACAGAGAGAGAGCAAUAGAGGAGAAAAAGUAGAGCUGAACAUGAAGACAAUGAAAUUUACAAACAUAUUUGUUGUGGUUCAAAGAUGAGAUAAAGUGCGAUUCGGAAUCACAAGGGCAAGCGUAAUUUAGGCAAAAAACUCAUCAAAUUUUUGACCGUUUGUUGCAGUAGCUCAUCUGCUAUCAUGCUUCUUCUGAAGCAAAAAUAAAACAAAACGGAAACACUACUAAAGAGAGGACAAGAAUGGUAGGCAAAAAGUCAGAAACAACCCUAAACUGUUGGCUACUAUUUUGAGAGCUUUUUUUUUCCACUAGACAGAGUAGUAAUUUUAUCUAAAAAGACAAAAAUGUCCUCAAGGAUGACGUACUAUUUGGAGAAGUACUCAACAUUCCCAAGGCAUAAACGGAAACAAAAUUUUCUCCCUCCCUUCCUGCCGUCAUGUGGAUCAAUCGAAACAUACAAUCCUUAGAUUUUUCUAUGUGUGUAAGAAAUCUGUUGAAUACUUGUAAGGAAAAAAAUUAGCCAAAGAGAAAUAAUAAUUACCUUUAGCAGGAAAGCUUACAGAUGUAAAAGUAGAAGGAUCGUGAAACUGAGCAGUAGUGCUUCCUAAUGUAUAAGGACACAAACUUUAUGAGUUGUUAGAGAUACUUCUGUAACUCUUGAUCAUUUGCUAACUGGCCAACAAACUAGUAAAUAGAAGCAACUGAACAAGAUACAAAAGUCACAAACUAAUUGUUUGAACUUAUCAUAUUCAACUAAUGAGACCAAUUAAAUACUAAA